RNAcentral lists this ribosomal RNA (253 nucleotides) under uncultured bacterium. RNAcentral's name for it is "partial 16S ribosomal RNA". It matches the Rfam family "Bacterial small subunit ribosomal RNA", at positions 524 to 776 of the family's 1533-position model. The record is from RNAcentral.
UACGUAGGGUGCAAGCGUUGUCCGGAAUUAUUGGGCGUAAAGAGCUCGUAGGCGGUUCGUCGCGUCGGCUGUGAAAACCCGGAGCUCAACUCCGGGCCUGCAGUCGAUACGGGCGGACUUGAGUGUUGCAGGGGAGACUGGAAUUCCUGGUGUAGCGGUGGAAUGCGCAGAUAUCAGGAGGAACACCGGUGGCGAAGGCGGGUCUCUGGGCCGAUACUGACGCUGAGAAGCGAAAGCGUGGGGAGCGAACAGG